UGCAAGUCGAACGGUGAAGAAGAGCUUGCUCUUUGGAUCAGUGGCGAACGGGUGAGUAACACGUGAGCAAUCUGCCCCUGACUCUGGGAUAAGCGCUGGAAACGGCGUCUAAUACCGGAUAUGAACUGCGAAGGCAUCUUCAGUAGUUGGAAAGAAUUUCGGUCAGGGAUGAGCUCGCGGCCUAUCAGCUUGUUGGUGAGGUAAUGGCUCACCAAGGCGUCGACGGGUAGCCGGCCUGAGAGGGUGACCGGCCACACUGGGACUGAGACACGGCCCAGACUCCUACGGGAGGCAGCAGUGGGGAAUAUUGCACAAUGGGCGCAAGCCUGAUGCAGCAACGCCGCGUGAGGGAUGACGGCCUUCGGGUUGUAAACCUCUUUUAGCAAGGAAGAAGCGAAAGUGACGGUACUUGCAGAAAAAGCGCCGGCUAACUACGUGCCAGCAGCCGCGGUAAUACGUAGGGCGCAAGCGUUAUCCGGAAUUAUUGGGCGUAAAGAGCUCGUAGGCGGUUUGUCGCGUCUGCUGUGAAAACUGGAGGCUCAACCUCCAGCCUGCAGUGGGUACGGGCAGACUAGAGUGCGGUAGGGGAGAUUGGAAUUCCUGGUGUAGCGGUGGAAUGCGCAGAUAUCAGGAGGAACACCGAUGGCGAAGGCAGAUCUCUGGGCCGUAACUGACGCUGAGGAGCGAAAGGGUGGGGAGCAAACAGGCUUAGAUACCCUGGUAGUCCACCCCGUAAACGUUGGGAACUAGUUGUGGGGUCCAUUCCACGGAUUCCGUGACGCAGCUAACGCAUUAAGUUCCCCGCCUGGGGAGUACGGCCGCAAGGCUAAAACUCA
This 836-nucleotide ribosomal RNA is filed under the name Microbacterium sp. ER-29. RNAcentral describes it as "bacterial SSU rRNA". It matches the Rfam family "Bacterial small subunit ribosomal RNA", at positions 56 to 903 of the family's 1533-position model. Lineage: Bacteria; Bacillati; Actinomycetota; Actinomycetes; Micrococcales; Microbacteriaceae. The record is from RNAcentral.